GACACUUUGGCGGAGUGGUUAACGCGCUGCCCUGCUAUAGAUCAAAUGAUUUAAGCGGUAUUAGGCAGUUCCUUCGGGAGCGCAGGUUCGAAUCCUGCAGGUGUCG
Exophiala mesophila is the source of this 106-nucleotide transfer RNA. It matches the Rfam family "tRNA". From Rfam's summary of the family: Transfer RNA (tRNA) molecules are approximately 80 nucleotides in length. Their secondary structure includes four short double-helical elements and three loops (D, anti-codon, and T loops). The record is from Rfam. NCBI's taxonomy places the organism in Eukaryota, Fungi, Ascomycota, Eurotiomycetes, Chaetothyriales, Herpotrichiellaceae.